AAGCAACGCACGACCUGUAGGCCUAUACCGAAGCCCCACUUGAGCCCUAAGCAACUUCAGGAACGGUUCUCUCCAAGCUGACAAAUGCAAGACAUGCACACACAGACAGGAAAACAAAAGGCAAAAAGGCAAAGCCGACAAACAUUACUUCCCAGAACAACAGCUGCUUCUGAAUGAGAGGAAUGUGAUAAUGAAACUGCUAAACUGAGAGAGUGGGAGGGAAUUCUGUCAUCAAAGUCAUGAGCUUACCAGUGUGUUAUCGGUUGCCAUUCGUGGCUGAUCUGAGACCGUGGAUCAUGGAGCAUGUAGUGGGGCAGAUGAACCGGGUGUAGUGGUCCUGAAGACACCGGAGGUGGCGGGCUGCUCAUGGUGAAGGGGGUACCUCAAGGACAACAAGAUAGGCCUACUCGUCUUUUCGGGUAGCAGCCCCUGCCUACAGCUGUCUACCGUCCCACGGUGUUUCCCUGAAUCGUCCAGGAUUUACCCCGUCAGUUUUGAUUGGUCCGUACACUAGUGCAUCACGGUACCGAUAAAAACUCGUAUUAUUUCCUUUACAGCUUUUUUGAAUGGGGAUCCACCAAUGAAAGGCAAGGGUUUGUUACUAACCCCUCGUAGCUGUAACGAUUUAAGCAUUGCGCCUUGAUGCAACGCACACCCCUUCGGCCGGCUGGUGCUCUGAGGGAACUGGUCCUUAUUACAGUGAUUAGGCGAGAAGGUACAAGACCUGCCAUGCCAAAAACUCCACGUGACCAAAAUAUGCUACUGGGACCUCAUUGGUCAAGCUUCUUUCUAUGACGUGCAAUGUUUACGGAAGUGUUUUCGGCACUCCGGACGGUUUUGGGCACGGUCCUCGGAUAGUGUUGUUGUUGUACCAAAUGGCAAAAUAUUUGCUCACCACAGUGACCCUUGUCGGACCAUAGUCUAUAGAGUAAACACCCGACUCCUGCUGCCGACCGAUAUUUACUGCUGCUAGUAUACAAAGCAAGUUCUCGGUGCUAAUUAGCCAUGACACUUAGGAAGAUCAGCAGAAGAUGAUGAUAUUACAGGAAUGAGUUUUGCCACUGUGACUGGUAGGCAGAAGAGACAUUGCACUUAACUUACUUAAUUAAAUACUUACAGCUUACAAUUAGACCCAGUUACUGGGGUGCUGUACUCAAAAAUUUGUCAUAAUCAGUCAGGUAAUGACACAAUUUGAAAAGUACAGCGCCCCAGUAACUGGGUCUAGCUUACAAUAAACUUCAAAACAUUCAUCCUCCUAAAAUAAAGCUUUCUUAAGUUAAAAUAAAAAAUAAAUAAAUAAAUUUUAGAUAUACUCAUAGUGUCAGUGCAAAAAGGCCGUAACUCAAUUCUGUCACAAAGUCGUAUCUCACACAAAAAUGCUCAAUGCAACAGUGUCAUAUCUCUGCGUCCAUUGACUCUGUGAUUACUUGACUCUGUGAUUACAUCCGGGCAAGACACGACCAUGCGACAUUCUAAAAUUAGUAUUUCACGUAAACGCUGUUUUAGGAGAUAGACCUUGUUGCACCAACACAACAAACUCUGGUAUCAGUUGUAUAAUUUGUUUGACAUGUAACAGAGUAUUAAGUAGCACUAGUUUGAUGAACCCAUGAGAAAUAUCAAAAAUCUGGGUUUCUGAACUGAUGCUAUGAUGAUAUUUGUUAACCAGGUGUCCAUAAACUGGAGCAAUUGAAAAUACUUGUUACAUUUGAAUUCCAAAAAAGUUACACAUUGUAGUUGUUUACAUGAUGUACAGCCGUAUGUUUCUAUACACCCAUUGUACAACGCAUACACGCGCGUCUCCUGUCCGUCAUUUUGGUGGUCAAAAUGUGCACAAAAUGAUGGUACAAGUAUGUGCGCACCAAUACGCGUGUAAACACGUGUUCCAUCCUUUUGUGUAUGUUUUGACCCCCAAAAUGGCGGACAGGAGACGCGCGUGGAAGUGCGCUGCGCUUAGUGCAAUGGGUCUAUACCCAACUAAUCCCAGAGUUCUUUCAAGUCAUUACCUUGUUUAGGCCUAUGUUAACUUAAAUUUUGUUUACUUAGUUCAUUAAUUAACUAAAUGUAGUUUUUAAGAAAUACCGUUAACCAGAACCAAACUGGAAUGUUAAUACCAAAUAGAAAUCACAGAGUGAAGCAAAAAAUGAAACACAACUGUCCAAUAAUGGCCUGUUUCAAUUUUGUGAAGCACCUACAGUCACAAAGAAAUCUCAGCCCUGAAAGAUGACAACUAUAUGACCAUGAUAUUACUUAAAGGCACUGGACACUAUUGGUAACUACUCAAAUCUGAAAGCACACAACUUGUGCUACAAGGGUGUUUU
Asterias rubens (European starfish) is the source of this 2318-nucleotide long non-coding RNA. RefSeq lists it as uncharacterized. The record is from RefSeq and is a predicted model, not a curated record. The transcript has 3 exons. Lineage: Eukaryota; Metazoa; Echinodermata; Asteroidea; Forcipulatida; Asteriidae.